AGAGUUUGAUCAUGGCUCAGAACGAACGCUGGCGGCGUGCCUAACACAUGCAAGUCGAGCGGUAACGCGGGAGCAAUCCUGGCGACGAGCGGCGAACGGGUGAGUAAUGCUUCGGAAUCUACCCAGUAGUGGGGAAUAACCAGCCGAAAGGUUGGCUAAUACCGCAUACGACCUACGGGUGAAAGCAGGGGAUCGCAAGA
RNAcentral lists this ribosomal RNA (200 nucleotides) under uncultured bacterium. RNAcentral describes it as "partial 16S ribosomal RNA". It matches the Rfam family "Bacterial small subunit ribosomal RNA", at positions 8 to 211 of the family's 1533-position model. The record is from RNAcentral.